CGAGCGUUAGGCGGAAUCACUGGGCUUAAAGCGUGUGUAGGCGGACCGUUAAGUACCUUGUGAAAUCCCCCGGCUCAACCGGGGAACGGCUGGGUAUACUGGCGGUCUUGAGCCAUCCAGGGGCAGUCGGAACAGACGGUGGAGCGGUGAAAUGCGUAGAUAUCGUCUGGAACGCCGAAGGUGAAAACAGACUGCUGGGGAUGAGCUGACGCUGAGACACGAAAGCCAGGGGAGCGAACGGG
RNAcentral lists this ribosomal RNA (242 nucleotides) under uncultured bacterium. Its description in RNAcentral is "partial 16S ribosomal RNA". It matches the Rfam family "Bacterial small subunit ribosomal RNA", at positions 535 to 776 of the family's 1533-position model. The record is from RNAcentral.